UUUUAUGGAGAGUUUGAUCCUGGCUCAGAGUGAACGCUGGCGGCGUGCCUAAUACAUGCAAGUCGAACGAUGAAGCUUCUAGCUUGCUAGAGUGCUGAUUAGUGGCGCACGGGUGAGUAACGCAUAGGUCAUGUGCCUCUUAGUUUGGGAUAGCCAUUGGAAACGAUGAUUAAUACCAGAUACUCCCUACGGGGGAAAGAUUUAUCGCUAAGAGAUCAGCCUAUGUCCUAUCAGCUUGUUGGUAAGGUAAUGGCUUACCAAGGCUAUGACGGGUAUCCGGCCUGAGAGGGUGAACGGACACACUGGAACUGAGACACGGUCCAGACUCCUACGGGAGGCAGCAGUAGGGAAUAUUGCUCAAUGGGGGAAACCCUGAAGCAGCAACGCCGCGUGGAGGAUGAAGGUUUUAGGAUUGUAAACUCCUUUUGUUAGAGAAGAUAAUGACGGUAUCUAACGAAUAAGCACCGGCUAACUCCGUGCCAGCAGCCGCGGUAAUACGGAGGGUGCAAGCGUUACUCGGAAUCACUGGGCGUAAAGAGCGCGUAGGCGGGAUAGUCAGUCAGGUGUGAAAUCCUAUGGCUUAACCAUAGAACUGCAUUUGAAACUACUAUUCUAGAGUGUGGGAGAGGUAGGUGGAAUUCUUGGUGUAGGGGUAAAAUCCGUAGAGAUCAAGAGGAAUACUCAUUGCGAAGGCGACCUGCUGGAACAUUACUGACGCUGAUUGCGCGAAAGCGUGGGGAGCAAACAGGAUUAGAUACCCUGGUAGUCCACGCCCUAAACGAUGGAUGCUAGUUGUUGGAGGGCUUAGUCUCUCCAGUAAUGUAGCUAACGCAUUAAGCAUCCCGCCUGGGGAGUACGGUCGCAAGAUUAAAACUCAAAGGAAUAGACGGGGACCCGCACAAGCGGUGGAGCAUGUGGUUUAAUUCGAAGAUACACGAAGAACCUUACCUAGGCUUGACAUUGAGAGAAUCCGCUAGAAAUAGUGGAGUGUCUGGCUUGCUAGACCUUGAAAACAGGUGCUGCACGGCUGUCGUCAGCUCGUGUCGUGAGAUGUUGGGUUAAGUCCCGCAACGAGCGCAACCCCCUUUCUUAGUUGCUAACAGGUCAUGCUGAGAACUCUAAGGAUACUGCCUCCGUAAGGAGGAGGAAGGUGGGGACGACGUCAAGUCAUCAUGGCCCUUACGCCUAGGGCUACACACGUGCUACAAUGGGGUGCACAAAGAGAAGCAAUACUGCGAAGUGGAGCCAAUCUUCAAAACGCCUCUCAGUUCGGAUUGUAGGCUGCAACUCGCCUGCAUGAAGCUGGAAUCGCUAGUAAUCGCAAAUCAGCCAUGUUGCGGUGAAUACGUUCCCGGGUCUUGUACUCACCGCCCGUCACACCAUGGGAGUUGUGUUUGCCUUAAGUCAGGAUGCUAAAUUGGCUACUGCCCACGGCACACACAGCGACUGGGGUGAAGUCGUAACAAGGUAACCGUAGGUGAACCUGCGGUUGGAUCACCUCCUUUCUAGA
RNAcentral lists this ribosomal RNA (1510 nucleotides) under Helicobacter pylori UM037. RNAcentral's name for it is "bacterial SSU rRNA". It matches the Rfam family "Bacterial small subunit ribosomal RNA". The record is from RNAcentral. Lineage: Bacteria; Pseudomonadati; Campylobacterota; Epsilonproteobacteria; Campylobacterales; Helicobacteraceae.